This 1064-nucleotide long non-coding RNA is filed under the name Gallus gallus (chicken). Its description in RNAcentral is "lncRNA (ENSGALG00010025209.1)". The record is from RNAcentral. Lineage: Eukaryota; Metazoa; Chordata; Aves; Galliformes; Phasianidae.
AUUUUUUAGUUGGAGAUCCCUGCCUAUGUGAGAAUGCUGUAGGCCUUCUGAAGACCAUCGUGAACUUAUGGCCUUCAUAUUUCUGCAAAACUUAACACUGUGAAGAAUUCUGAGGCACAGAUUUCCAGAUCCACUGAAAAUGAAGGACAGAAAGAGAUUGAUGGGAAAAUGUUGCCUUCAAAAAAUGAAAAUGUUUUGCAGAAAUUUAUUGAUUUCAGCGAACUCUCUCCAAAACCCUCUCCUGGCAUGUACCUUUUGAUACACAGCAGCAGAGAUGGGCAUUUCUGCUGGUGGCAUUUCUUCCUGAGGCACUGCAGCUCACUGAACCUCCACACGCUAAGGGAUGUGGGCAACGUGUUGUCCUUAAAGUUGCAUUUAGUUUCUUUACUCUUCUUUUCUUCAAAUAGUACCUAAAUUCUUGUUAUUGAGGUUUAACCUAACCCUGUGGUGCCUGCAUGGCAUUCCCCACAGGUGUGACUGGAUACAGUCCCACCUGAGGCCAGACACUUUGAUUCUCAGGGUAAGUAGAGGGAAGAAGUCACAGUCUAGCCAUCUCUCCAUCAUUAUCUUGCUUUUCACCUGUCUGUCCCUUCACUGAGAAGUCAGAAAUGCUUUUUUUUUUUCAUAAUGUCCCUUCAACUAACCAUCAGGACAGUUUGGAGCUUGUCUGUAAAUCAUUUCAAGGUAAUACUGAGAAAAAUAUGCUUUAAAGCAUGUACUUACUGUGAGAUUGAGUCCCACAGAGCCAGCCCUUCCCAUCAAAGCCUGUUUGAUGACAUCCAAGAUGUUAAGCUGUGUGGGUGGAUGAUAGAAAUGGCAUUGUAAUCUCAACUGUUAUGGAAUAGCAAGACAGCCAAAAGCCUAUGCUCCUGAAUGGACUUGAAGCCCGCCUCAGAGUUUGCACCUGGAAACCAUCUUAUAGCAGUGGUGGAGGAAGGAUAGCUUUCUCCUGGAAAAAAAAAAAAAAAGGUAUUUAGGUAUCUAAGUGCUACCAAAUGGACAUGCAAUUAUUUGGAAACUAUGUAAAACUUUAUUUCUGCUUCCUGAAUCACAAAUGCCAUCUU